RNAcentral lists this ribosomal RNA (389 nucleotides) under uncultured bacterium. RNAcentral describes it as "bacterial SSU rRNA". It matches the Rfam family "Bacterial small subunit ribosomal RNA", at positions 97 to 520 of the family's 1533-position model. The record is from RNAcentral.
GGCAGACGGGUGAGUAACACGUGGGAACGUGCCCUUCGGUUCGGAAUAACUCAGGGAAACUUGAGCUAAUACCGGGUACGCCCUUUUGGGGAAAGGUUUACUGCCGAAGGAUCGGCCCGCGUCUGAUUAGCUAGUUGGUGGGGUAAUGGCCUACCAAGGCGACGAUCAGUAGCUGGUCUGAGAGGAUGAUCAGCCACACUGGGACUGAGACACGGCCCAGACUCCUACGGGAGGCAGCAGUGGGGAAUCUUAGACAAUGGGCGCAAGCCUGAUCUAGCCAUGCCGCGUGGGUGAUGAAGGCCUUAGGGUCGUAAAGCCCUUUCGCCGGGGAAGAUAAUGACGGUACCCGGUAANAGAAACCCCGGUUAACCCCGUGCCAGCCGCCGCGG